GCAUUCAAUCUCUCGUUUCCUUGGCCUGGGGACAUUGUGGGGGGUUGGGAUAUUAAGUCUAUGAAGACAAAGUAUAAGAAGAGAGACCUUCCCAGGACUUUCAAGUGUGACAUUUGAUAUCAACACCGUCAGCCCAGAAAGAGAAACAGCAUCUCUCGCCAAAUGAAAAGAAGAGACUGAGGGAAUUAAAGAAAGAUGCAUCAUUUCACUAUCUUCAGAUGAACCCCUUACUUCAACUGCAGACCAGCGAAAGGAGAAAACUCCAUAACAGUUUGGUCUGGAGAAAGCUCUUGUGCAGAGCAGGAUCAGCAGCUGAACCAUUCCAGCAAAAGUGGCCAAAGGAGGAACUGAAGCAGAUGAGCUGCCACCGCACAAAUAAACAAUGUCUCCCUUCCCGACCUUCCCCUCUGUAAUAACAAUGAUCCACACAGAAUGCCUCCCACUUCCCAUAAACAGUUUUUUUGCUGGGCUCAA
Long non-coding RNA from Ornithorhynchus anatinus (platypus), 474 nucleotides. RefSeq lists it as uncharacterized. The record is from RefSeq and is a predicted model, not a curated record. The transcript is spliced from 3 exons. NCBI's taxonomy places the organism in Eukaryota, Metazoa, Chordata, Mammalia, Monotremata, Ornithorhynchidae.